UACGUAGGGUGCGAGCGUUAAUCGGAAUUACUGGGCGUAAAGCGUGCGUAGACGGUCAAGUAAGUCGGGUGUGAAAGCCCCGGGCUCAACCUGGGAAUUGCAUUCGAGACUGCGUGGCUAGGGUGCGGAAGAGGGAAGCGGAAUUCCCGGUGUAGCGGUGAAAUGCGUAGAGAUCGGGAGGAACACCAGAGGCGAAAGCGGCGACCUGGACAGGUACUGACACUCAACUACGAAAGCGUGGGGAGCAAACAGG
RNAcentral lists this ribosomal RNA (253 nucleotides) under uncultured bacterium. RNAcentral's name for it is "partial 16S ribosomal RNA". It matches the Rfam family "Bacterial small subunit ribosomal RNA", at positions 524 to 776 of the family's 1533-position model. The record is from RNAcentral.